This 20-nucleotide unclassified non-coding RNA is filed under the name Mus musculus (house mouse). RNAcentral's name for it is "oocyte_clustered_small_RNA6135". Lineage: Eukaryota; Metazoa; Chordata; Mammalia; Rodentia; Muridae. The record is from RNAcentral.
UACAGGUGGGCAAGUGGGAG